UUACCACUUUCAUUGUUGUUACCACUUUCAUUGUUGUUACCAUUUUCAUUGUUGUUACUAUUUUCAUUGCGGUUACUACUUUCAUUGCGGUUACUAUCAUUGUUGCUAAUCAAUUCUAAAUUAAUGUUAUCCCACAUAUUAUUAAAAUUUUUAUUUUUAUAAAAAUGUUCAAUUAAAAUAUCAUUAUAAUUUUUCAAGUUUUUAUCAUUUUUUACUUUAUUAAAUAUAUCUAUAAACAUACUGUCAACAAUUGAGCAUAAAUAUGCGCUUACAGAUGUAGGUGUAUUAUAAAGUUUACAAUUGGUGACUAUUAAAUAUACAUCUUCAAAAAAGGAAUUUAAAUUAUUGUAUUUUUUUUUUUACAUCUAAAAAUUAUUUUAUUUAUAUACAUUGGUUUUUUUAUAAUACUAUAAUACAUUGGUGCAUAUGUUUCACAUACCUUAUUUAAAAACGCCUUAUAAUUUAAAACCUCUGAAGUUUCUUUCAUAAUUGUUAAUAACGUUUCAUUAAAAUUUUCAAUGAUUUCUUUUAUGUUAUUAUAGGUAUUUCCUUUCUUUAACUUUUUACUACGAUUAUUUUCAUCCGUAUUGUUACUAUCGUUAUGUAAUAUAUUCAUAUUGCUAGUACUUCCUUCUGAAAUAACGCUGCUAGUUUUUUUCAUACCUCUAUCCAUUAGGCUCAUUUUAUUUUCACUUUCAUUAUUGCUUUUUUUUUUAUUUUUUUUUUCUUGUUUUUCAUUUUCUAUUGUUCUUUGAUUUUUUUUUUUUGUUUUUUCUUUUUUUUUUUUUUUUUUUUCUACACCUUUUACUUUUUCCAAAUCGAUAUUUACAUUUUUUUUAGCAUGAAAGUAAAUAAAAUUAUAUGUUCCUUUUCUAUGAAAAGGAUAUCCUCCUACACCUUUACUUUGUUUAACAUAGUUGAGGCUUAAUUUUCGAUCUAUAAAUUUCCCGUUCUUUGUAACUUCAUUUCUAAACGUAUUACUAUGUACCUGGUGUAACCAAUACUUGUUUUUAUUUUUUUUUAAAUUAUAUUUUAACUUCUUUAUGUCAUUAAAAUUUUUACUUGAUAAGCUAUUAUAAUUACUUUUCGACCAACGUAAAAAACUAGUAUUAUAUUGUUGUACCUUUUCAUUAUAUAUUACAUGAUUAAAUAGAUAUGUUGCAUAUGCAUAAUUCUUUUUGCCUUUUUUUUUUAUUUACUGAUAAGUUAUGCUUUUUUUCAUUUACUUCAUCACCAUUAGCGUCAUCAUCAUCCCCACUUUUACCACCUUCAUAACAAC
This 1279-nucleotide long non-coding RNA is filed under the name Piliocolobus tephrosceles (Ugandan red Colobus). RNAcentral's name for it is "lncRNA (ENSPTEG00000000586.1)". Lineage: Eukaryota; Metazoa; Chordata; Mammalia; Primates; Cercopithecidae. The record is from RNAcentral.